Molecule: ribosomal RNA, 367 nt
Filed under: uncultured bacterium
Lineage: Bacteria
Description: bacterial SSU rRNA
Rfam family: Bacterial small subunit ribosomal RNA
Source: RNAcentral
ACGGAGGAUCCAAGCGUUAUCCGGAAUCAUUGGGUUUAAAGGGUCCGUAGGCGGUUUAUUAAGUCAGUGGUGAAAGCCCGCAGCUCAACUGUGGAACGGCCAUUGAUACUGAUAGACUUGAAUUACUGGGAAGUAACUAGAAUAUGUAGUGUAGCGGUGAAAUGCUUAGAUAUUACAUGGAAUACCAAUUGCGAAGGCAGGUUACUACCAGUGGAUUGACGCUGAUGGACGAAAGCGUGGGGAGCGAACAGGAUUAGAUACCCUGGUAGUCCACGCCGUAAACGAUGGAUACUAGCUGUUGGGCGCAAGUUCAGUGGCUAAGCGAAAGUGAUAAGUAUCCCACCUGGGGAGUACGUUCGCAAGAAUG